GACCGGGAGCGUAUGGCACAGUUGGUAGCACUGUUGCCUUGCAGCAAGAAUGUCCUGGGUUUGAAUCCCAGCCUGGGGUCA
Characodon lateralis is the source of this 81-nucleotide non-coding RNA. Lineage: Eukaryota; Metazoa; Chordata; Actinopteri; Cyprinodontiformes; Goodeidae. The record is from the annotation of a GenBank genome assembly.